GACGAACGCUGGCGGCGUGCUUAACACAUGCAAGUCGAACGGAAAGGCCCUGCUUUUGCGGGGUGCUCGAGUGGCGAACGGGUGAGUAACACGCGAGUAACCUGCCCUUGACUUUGGGAUAACUUCAGGAAACUGGGGCUAAUACCGGAUAGGAGCUCCUGCUGCAUGGGGGGGGUUGGAAAGUUUCGGCGGUUGGGGAUGGACUCGCGGCUUAUCAGCUGGUUGGUGGGGUAGUGGCUUACCAAGGCUUUGACGGGUAGCCGGCCUGAGAGGGUGACCGGCCACAUUGGGACUGAGAUACGGCCCAGACUCCUACGGGAGGCAGCAGUGGGGAAUAUUGCACAAUGGGCGGAAGCCUGAUGCAGCAGCCCCGCGUGCGGGAUGACGGCCUUCGGGUUGUAAACCGCUUUCGCCUGUGACGAAGCGUGAGUGACGGUAAUGGGUAAAGAAGCACCGGCUAACUACGUG
Molecule: ribosomal RNA, 468 nt
Filed under: uncultured bacterium
Lineage: Bacteria
Description: partial 16S ribosomal RNA
Rfam family: Bacterial small subunit ribosomal RNA
Source: RNAcentral